This is a long non-coding RNA of Panicum virgatum (switchgrass), 701 nucleotides long. RefSeq lists it as uncharacterized. The record is from RefSeq and is a predicted model, not a curated record. The transcript has 4 exons. Lineage: Eukaryota; Viridiplantae; Streptophyta; Magnoliopsida; Poales; Poaceae.
UGCUGAAUCCGUAAUAUAGCUUGACUUCAAACAUUCAUUCAUGUAUGACACUAUAAUUCUAAAACUGCAGUGUUUUUGAAGCUGAAAGGCCAGGCUGCAGAUUCACAAUUCAGCAAAGAAUUGGAACAUAUUUCUACAAGGGUGUCAUGUAUGGCUCUGUUGGAUUUUUCUGUGGUAUAAUUGGUCAAGGAAUCGCCAAUAUCAUAAUGACUGCCAGGAGGAGCGUAAAAAAUCAGAUGAAGACAUUCCUGUUCCACCUCUUGUUAAUAGUGCUGCACUUUGGGGGAUUAUGGAUAUAUAGGGCCAAGAGUUACUCCGGCCCAACUCGGCGAGGUUGGUGGGGGGACAGCGCAGGGCACCACGGCGCUACUUCGACGCAGCUCGGCGAGGUAGCGCAGCGAUGGUUGGCGGUGGCGCGAUUCAGAUCCACCCAGGCCACGCAGGGGGGAGGAGGGAGCUGCCACCAUCCUAGCACUCGACAGGACAUCCGGCAGUGGCGGUGGGGCUCGGACCCGCCCGUGUCGCCCCUGAACUUGUGUUUCACCCAUUUGUAAUGCACACCGUAUAUUAUCUAAUAUACCCCAGAACACUGAGAUCCUUUCCCCAGAUGAUCGACUAUGAUUAUACUGUAUGCAAUUGUGAUGCCUCCUCUUGUGAGGAUUCCAAGCCAGAAAUCUGAUCCAUUUGACAUUCUCUUUCAA